This is a non-coding RNA of Pelobates cultripes (western spadefoot toad), 115 nucleotides long. The record is from the annotation of a GenBank genome assembly. NCBI's taxonomy places the organism in Eukaryota, Metazoa, Chordata, Amphibia, Anura, Pelobatidae.
AUCUGUGUUUGUAUGUGCCAGUGUGUGUAUCUCUGUGUCAGUGUGUAUAUGUAUCUGACACACAUAUAUACACACACUGGCACACAGAUACACACACCUUGACUCACAAAUACAC